AGUGAACGCUGGCGGUAGGCCUAACACAUGCAAGUCGAACGGCAGCACAGUAAGAGCUUGCUCUUACGGGUGGCGAGUGGCGGACGGGUGAGGAAUACAUCGGAAUCUACUUUUUCGUGGGGGAUAACGUAGGGAAACUUACGCUAAUACCGCAUACGACCUACGGGUGAAAGCAGGGGAUCUUCGGACCUUGCGCGAUUGAAUGAGCCGAUGUCGGAUUAGCUAGUUGGCGGGGUAAAGGCCCACCAAGGCGACGAUCCGUAGCUGGUCUGAGAGGAUGAUAGGCGACACUGGAACGUAGACACGGUCCAGACCCCUAAGGGAGGCAGCAGUGGGGAAUAUUGGACAAUGGGCGCAAGCCUGAUCCAGCCAUACCGCGUGGGUGAAGAAGGCCUUCGGGUUGUAAGGCCGUUUUGUUGGGAAAGAAAAGCAGCAGGUUAAUACCACGCUGUUCUGACGGUACCCAAAGAAUAAGCACCGGCUAACUUCGUG
RNAcentral lists this ribosomal RNA (492 nucleotides) under uncultured bacterium. Its description in RNAcentral is "partial 16S ribosomal RNA". It matches the Rfam family "Bacterial small subunit ribosomal RNA", at positions 29 to 507 of the family's 1533-position model. The record is from RNAcentral.